This 305-nucleotide ribosomal RNA is filed under the name uncultured bacterium. Its description in RNAcentral is "bacterial SSU rRNA". It matches the Rfam family "Bacterial small subunit ribosomal RNA", at positions 335 to 656 of the family's 1533-position model. The record is from RNAcentral.
AUUCCUACGGGGGGCAGCAGUGGGGAAUAUUGCACAAUGGGGGAAACCCUGAUGCAGCAACGCCGCGUGAGUGAAGAAGUAUUUCGGUAUGUAAAGCUCUAUCAGCAGGGAAGAAGAAAGACGGUACCUGACUAAGAAGCCGCGGCUAACUACGUGCCAGCAGCCGCGGUAAUACGUAGGGGGCAAGCGUUAUCCGGAUUUACUGGGUGUAAAGGGAGCGUAGACGGCUGUGCAAGUCUGAAGUGAAAGGCAGGGGCUUAACUCCUGAACUGCUUUGGAAACUGCCAUGCUAGAGUGCUGGAGAG